RNAcentral lists this microRNA precursor (102 nucleotides) under Marmota monax (woodchuck). The record is from RNAcentral. Lineage: Eukaryota; Metazoa; Chordata; Mammalia; Rodentia; Sciuridae.
AGAGGGAUAGCUGGGUCAAAUGGUGGUUUCCUACCAGAUUUCCAAGAAAUCUCCAUACUGCUUUCCAUAUUGGCUGCAUCUAUUUGCAGUCCCACCAGCAAU